RNAcentral lists this ribosomal RNA (446 nucleotides) under uncultured bacterium. RNAcentral describes it as "partial 16S ribosomal RNA". It matches the Rfam family "Bacterial small subunit ribosomal RNA", at positions 338 to 795 of the family's 1533-position model. The record is from RNAcentral.
CCUACGGGUGGCUGCAGUCGAGAAUCAUUCACAAUGGGGGAAACCCUGAUGGUGCGACGCCGCGUGGGGGAGUGAAGGUCUUCGGAUUGUAAACCCCUUUCAUGUGGGAGCAAAUUAUAAAGAUAGUACCCCAGGAGGAAGAGCCGGCUAACUCUGUGCCAGCAGCCGCGGUAAUACAGCGGUCUCAAGCGUUGUUCGGAAUCACUGGGCCUAAGGCGUGCGUAGGCUGUUUCGUAGGUCGUGUGUGAAAGGCGCGGGCUCAACCCGCGGACGGCACAUGAUACUGGGAGACUAGAGUAAUGGAGGGGGAAGCGGAAUGCUCGGUGUAGCAGUGAAAUGCGUAGAUAGCGAGAGGAACACUCGUGGCGAAGGCGGGUUCCUGGACAUUAACUGACGCUGAGGCACGAAGGCCAGGGGAGCGAAAGGGAUUAGAUACCCGAGUAGUC